GACGAACGCUGGCGGCGUGCCUAAUACAUGCAAGUCGAGCGGACUUACAAAGCUUGCUUUUUAAGUUAGCGGCGGACGGGUGAGUAACACGUGGGCAACCUGCCUGUAAGACUGGGAUAACUUCGGGAAACCGGAGCUAAUACCGGAUAAUCCUUUUCUACUCAUGUAGAAAAGCUGAAAGACGGUUUACGCUGUCACUUACAGAUGGGCCCGCGGCGCAUUAGCUAGUUGGUGAGGUAACGGCUCACCAAGGCGACGAUGCGUAGCCGACCUGAGAGGGAGAUCGGCCACACUGGGACUGAGACACGGCCCAGACUCCUACGGGAGGCAGCAGUAGGGAAUCUUCCGCAAUGGACGAAAGUCUGACGGAGCAACGCCGCGUGAGUGAUGAAGGUUUUCGGAUCGUAAAACUCUGUUGUUAGGGAAGAACAAGUACGAGAGUAACUGCUCGUACCUUGACGGUACCUAACCAGAAAGCCACGGCUAACUACGUG
RNAcentral lists this ribosomal RNA (494 nucleotides) under uncultured bacterium. RNAcentral's name for it is "partial 16S ribosomal RNA". It matches the Rfam family "Bacterial small subunit ribosomal RNA", at positions 28 to 507 of the family's 1533-position model. The record is from RNAcentral.